This 808-nucleotide ribosomal RNA is filed under the name uncultured bacterium. RNAcentral's name for it is "bacterial SSU rRNA". It matches the Rfam family "Bacterial small subunit ribosomal RNA", at positions 1 to 820 of the family's 1533-position model. The record is from RNAcentral.
GGCUUAGAGUUUGAUCAUGGCUCAGGGUGAACGCUGGCGGCGCACAUAAGACAUGCAAGUCGAACGAACUUAACCGAAAGUUUGCUUUUGGAGCGGUUAGUGGCGGACUGGUGAGUAAUGCAUAAGCAACCUGCCUAUCAGAGGGGAACAACAGUUAGAAAUGACUGCUAAUACCGCAUAUGCCUUGAGUAACACAUGUUACAAGAGGGAAAGGAGCAAUCCGCUGAUAGAUGGGCUUAUGUCUGAUUAGAUAGUUGGUGUGGUAACGGCAUACCAAGUCGACGAUCAGUAGCCGGACUGAGAGGUUGAACGGCCACAUUGGGACUGAGAUACGGCCCAGACUCCUACGGGAGGCAGCAGUCGGGAAUAUUGCGCAAUGGAGGAAACUCUGACGCAGUGACGCCGCGUGCAGGAAGAAGGUUUUCGGAUUGUAAACUGCUUUAGACAGGGAAGAAAAAGGACAGUACCUGUAGAAUAAGCUCCGGCUAACUACGUGCCAGCAGCCGCGGUAAUACGUAGGGAGCGAGCGUUGCCCGGAUUUAUUGGGUGUAAAGGGUGCGUAGACGGGAAGACAAGUUGGUUGUGAAAUCCCUUGGCUCAACUGAGGAAUUGCAACCAAAACUAUCAUUCUUGAGUACUGGAGAGGAAAGUGGAAUUCCUAGUGUAGCGGUGAAAUGCGUAGAUAUUAGGAGGAACACCAGUGGCGAAGGCGACUUUCUGGACAGUAACUGACGUUGAGGCACGAAAGUGUGGGGAGCAAACAGAUUAGAUACCCUGGUAGUCCACACCGUAAACGAUGGAUACUAGG